AGUGAACGCUGGCGGCAGGCCUAACACAUGCAAGUCGAACGGCAGCACAGCAGUAGCAAUACUGUGGGUGGCGAGUGGCGGACGGGUGAGGAAUACAUCGGAAUCUACCUUGUCGUGGGGGAUAACGUAGGGAAACUUACGCUAAUACCGCAUACGAACUAUGGUUGAAAGCGGCGGACCGCAAGGCGUCGCGCGAUUGG
RNAcentral lists this ribosomal RNA (200 nucleotides) under uncultured bacterium. RNAcentral's name for it is "partial 16S ribosomal RNA". It matches the Rfam family "Bacterial small subunit ribosomal RNA", at positions 29 to 224 of the family's 1533-position model. The record is from RNAcentral.